UUGGUCACAGACACUCAUACAGGGAAAACACCAUGUGAAGAUAAAGGCACAGGUCUGGGUGAUUCCUCUACAAGCCAAGGAAUGCCAAAGAUUACCAGCAACGCCAGAAGCUAGUAGAAAGGCACGGAACAGACUCUCCCUCAAGCCCUCAGAAGGAACCAAUCCCGCCAACACCUUGAUUUCAGACUUCUAGCCUUCAGACUGUGAGGCUCAUCUGUAAAGCGGAGUAAUUCAUUCCCAACGAGCACCUGGUUGUACCCGUUUCCCGUUUCCUUCAUCUGUGCAUCACAGCUGCUGACAAGAAGUCAUCGGCCCCUGGCAAGGAGCAGGAGUAUCCUCCAUCUUACAGCUGAGAAACUGGAACAGGGACCCAGCUGAAGGAUCUGGCUCUUCACCACCAUCCGUCUGGGAGGAGAUCCCAGAUAACCCGGAAUCCAUUCACAACAGGCUGUAGGCUGACCAGAGAGUGGUCAGAGGACCACCGUCUUGUGGUGCCUUCAGCGCUCAAGGGACCACCGUCCGAAGUCCAAGACAUGGCCUUUGUGAUCUAUGCGCAAACCCCACCACCACCUUCUGGGACUCCACAUACAAAGGGACCAAAGACCUCCCCAGCCUUGUAUACACAGCUACCUCCAUUGUCUUCAUUUUACCAAGAUAAUACAAGCUCACUGUUUUGAACCAAAUAAUACAGAAUAAAAUCAAGAAAGAAGAAAGCAAACAUCCUUGGGAUCCCACCCUUCAGAAACAGAAUUCACAUCAGGGGAUUUGGCCCAAGGAGAGAGACACCCCUUCACUGGAUUAGUUACAUUUUUGAAAUGAAAGAGGAAAAAUAAAUUUUUUUGGGUAAUUUUUUAAGCUCAGUCUAGGAAGGUUGGCUCAGUGCUAUUUUAUAACCAAUUCCUUGAGCCCAGUUUUAGUCAUUUGUGUUUGUGGCUGGUGGACUUCUGCAGCAAGGAAUGCUUCAAUUCUCAAGUCAGUUUUGUUAAACAGAAAAACCAAAGGCCAGCUCAGCUGGUCACUCGGAUGCACUGAGAAUAGCUGAGUCCAUCUGAAACUUCCCUGGCAUCUGACCCAGACUGAGGGCAAGUGUUCAGCUGAGAAACAAAGACGGACAUUAAGUGCAGAAAAACCCUUUUGUGCCCACACAGCAUGCAAGUUAUGUUGAGUUAUGCAGCUAUUUUGGGGACAAUAAUGUUUUGUAAACAGUCGGCAAAUGACUUUGUAAGUUGCAGAGGUUUGGGGCCCUUUCACCAACAAGGAUUGUAUGGAAGAUAAGGAAACAUGGGCAAGGCUGUCCCUUUGAGAAAUACAAAUAAA
Long non-coding RNA from Ailuropoda melanoleuca (giant panda), 1317 nucleotides. RefSeq lists it as uncharacterized. The transcript has 3 exons. Lineage: Eukaryota; Metazoa; Chordata; Mammalia; Carnivora; Ursidae. The record is from RefSeq and is a predicted model, not a curated record.